GCAGGUUCAUCUUUGAAGACUACACUCCUACAAACUUUGAUACUUUUCCUGCAGCCAUCAUGACUGUAUUUCAGAUUCUGACAGGAGAAGACUGGAAUGAGGUGAUGUACAAUGGGAUCCGCUCCCAGGGAGGAGUGAAGUCAGGAAUGUGGUCCUCCAUAUACUUCAUUGUACUCACACUCUUUGGUAACUACACGCUGUUGAAUGUUUUCUUGGCCAUCGCUGUGGACAAUCUGGCCAAUGCCCAGGAACUAACCAAGG
Oncorhynchus tshawytscha (Chinook salmon) is the source of this 261-nucleotide long non-coding RNA. RefSeq lists it as uncharacterized. The record is from RefSeq and is a predicted model, not a curated record. The transcript is spliced from 3 exons. NCBI's taxonomy places the organism in Eukaryota, Metazoa, Chordata, Actinopteri, Salmoniformes, Salmonidae.